This 272-nucleotide ribosomal RNA is filed under the name uncultured bacterium. Its description in RNAcentral is "partial 16S ribosomal RNA". The record is from RNAcentral.
CUGCUGCCUUCCGUAGGAGUCUGGGCCGUGUCUCAGUCCCAGUGUGGGGGGCCUUCCUCUCAGAACCCCUACGCAUCGUCGCCACGGUGGGCCGUCACCCCGCCGUCUAGCUAAUGCGCCGCAUGCCCAUCCGCCGCCGGAUCGCUCCUUUGGCCACCGGAGGAUGCCCUCCGGUGGCGUCACGGGGUAUUAGGCCGCGUUUCCGCGGGUUAUCCCCCUGUGGCGGCCAGGUUGCAUACGUGUUACUCACCCGUGCGCCGGUCGCCGGCGGG